Molecule: ribosomal RNA, 387 nt
Filed under: uncultured bacterium
Lineage: Bacteria
Description: bacterial SSU rRNA
Rfam family: Bacterial small subunit ribosomal RNA
Source: RNAcentral
AUUGAACGCUGGCGGCAUGCUUUACACAUGCAAGUCGAGCGGCAGCGCGGGAGCAAUCCUGGCGGCGAGCGGCGAACGGGUGAGGAAUACAUCGGAACGUACCCCGGAGUGGGGGAUAACGCCGCGAAAGCGGCGCUAAUACCGCAUAUGCUCUGAGGAGGAAAGUGGGGGACUCGCAAGGGCCUCACGCUCUGGGAGCGGCCGAUGUCCGAUUAGCUAGUGGUGGGGUAAAGGCUUACCAAGGCGACGAUCGGUAGCUGGUCUGAGAGGAUGAUCAGCCACACUGGGACUGAGACACGGCCCAGACUCCUACGGGAGGCAGCAGUGGGAAUUUUGGACAAUGGGGGCAACCCUGAUCCAGCCAUGCCGCGUGCGGGAAGAAGGCCU